Molecule: long non-coding RNA, 2575 nt
Organism: Oncorhynchus keta (chum salmon)
Lineage: Eukaryota; Metazoa; Chordata; Actinopteri; Salmoniformes; Salmonidae
Exons: 9
Source: RefSeq, a predicted model, not a curated record
AUAUUGCUAUCUAUACUUAGAUAUACUAUUAUAUAUAUUACUUUUUACAUAUAUUACCAUCUAUUCUUAGAUUUGAUCUAUUAUCAUAUCUGGAUAUUCCAGCCUAUUCAGCAGAACACGGAGUUGUUUUAGGGUCAUUUCAGAGAGUAUUCACACCUCCUGACUUUAUCCACAUUUUGUUGUAUUACAAAGUGGGAUUAAAAUUGAUUUCAUUGUCAUUGGUUUGAACGAUCGACACAAAACACAAAGUGGAAGAAAAAUUGUAAAACAUUUGUAAAAAAUGUAAAUGUAAAAUAAAACACAAAAUAUAUCUUUAUUAGAUAAGUAUUCAACCACCCUGAUUCAAUACACGUUAGAAUCACCUUUGGCAGCGAUAACAGAUGUGAGGCAUUCUGGGUAAGUAUCUAAGAGCUUUCCACACCUGGAUUGUGCAACACUUACCAAUUAUUAUUUUCAAAAUCCUUCAAACUUUGUGAAAUUGGUUGUUGACCAUUACUAGACAACCAUUUUCAGGUCUUUCCAUACAUUUUCAAGCAGAUUUAAAGUCAAAACUGUAACUCUGCCACCCAGGAAAAUUCACCAUCUCCUUGGUAAACAACUCCAGGGUAGAUUUGUUGUUUGUGUUUAAGGUUUAUUGUCCUGCUGAAAGGUGAAUUCGUCUCCCAGUGUCUGGUUGUAAAGCAGACGACCAGGUUUUCCUUUAGGAUUUUGCCUGUGAUUAGCGCUAUUCAUUUUCUUUUUAUCCUUGCCAAUGACAAGCAUACCCAUAACAUGAUGCGCUACAUGUAUUUUCUAUCAUGGAAAAAGCCAUGCAGCUUUAUUAUGCGACCUGUUAAAGCAAAUGUUGACCCCUGAUCUGGUUUAGGUUUGCCAUAACAAAGGGGUUGAAUACUUAUUGACUCAAGACAUUUCCAGAGCUGACAGGGUAAACAAAAAAAAAAUAUGUUGUUCUGCACCAGUUGAAUGCAUUCAUUUGGACAACUGACUAGGUAUCCCCCUUUCUGUUGGACAACUGACUAGGUAUCCCCCUUUCUGUUGGACAACUGACUAGGUAUCCCCCUUUCUGUUGGACAACUGACUAGGUAUCCCCCUUUCUGUUGGACAACUGACUAGGUAUCCCCCUUUCUGUUGGACAACUGACUAGGUAUCCCCCUUUCUGUUGGACAACUGACUAGGUAUCCCCCUUUCUGUUGGACAACUGACUAGGUAUCCCCCUUUCUGUUGGACAACUGACUAGGUAUCCCCCUUUCUGUUGGACAACUGACUAGGUAUCCCCUUUCUGUUGGACAACUGACUAGGUAUCCCCCUUUCUGUUGGACAACUGACUAGGUAUCCCCCCUUUCUGUUGGACAACUGACUAGGUAUCCCCCUUUCUGUUGGACAACUGACUAGGUAUCCCCCUUUCUGUUGGACAACUGACUAGGUAUCCCCCCUUUCUGUUGGACAACUGACUAGGUAUCCCCCUUUCUGUUGGACAACUGACUAGGUAUCCCCCUUUCUGUUGGACAACUGACUAGGUAUCCCCCCUUUCUGUUGGACAACUGACUAGGUAUCCCCCCUUUCUGUUGGACAACUGACUAGGUAUCCCCCUUUCUGUUGGACAACUGACUAGGUAUCCCCCUUUCUGUUGGACAACUGACUAGGUAUCCCCCUUUCUGUUGUAUAACUGACUAGGUAUCCCCCUUUCUGUUGUAUAACUGACUAGGUAUCCCCCCUUUCUGUUGGACAACUGACUAGGUAUCCCCCUUUCUGUUGUAUAACUGACUAGGUAUCCCCCUUUCUGUUGUAUAACUGACUAGGUAUCCCCCUUUCUGUUGUAUAACUGACUAGGUAUCCCCCUUUCUGUUGGACAACUGACUAGGUAUCCCCCUUUCUGUUGUAUAACUGACUAGGUAUCCCCUUUCUGUUGUAUAACUGACUAGGUAUCCCCCUUUCUGUUGUAUAACUGACUAGGUAUCCCCCUUUCUGUUGUAUAACUGACUAGGUAUCCCCCUUUCUGUUGUAUAACUGACUAGGUAUCCCCCUUUCUGUUGUAUAACUGACUAGGUAUCCCCCUUUCUGUUGUAUAACUGACUAGGUAUCCCCCUUUCUGUUGUAUAACUGACUAGGUAUCCCCCUUUCUGUUGUAUAACUGACUAGGUAUCCCCCUUUCUGUUGUAUAACUGACUAGGUAUCCCCCUUUCUGUUGUAUAACUGACUAGGUAUCCCCCUUUCCUUUUCAGCUUGAAUUCAUUUGUAAACAUUUCUAAAAAAACAUAAUUCUACUUUUACGUUAUUUUGCUUUUGUGUGUCGGAUCAGUGUCACAAAUUCUAAAUGUAAUCCCAUUUUAAAUUCAGGCUGUAACACAACAACAUGUGGUAGAAAGUCCAGGGGUGUGAAUACUCUCUGAAGACUGUGUAUAUAAGGUGGAGAAAGACAUUAGUUGAGAAGAGAGGAUCUCAGACACUGAUUAUUGAUCAGAUGAUCAGCAGUCUACUCUGACUUGUGCUGUUAUUACCUGUUGAAGUUAUGAUGUCUACAGCGGUGACAGACGGACGGAAGCACAGUCAGAAAAACAGACGGCCGUGACAGAUC